Molecule: long non-coding RNA, 1398 nt
Organism: Rosa rugosa (rugosa rose)
Lineage: Eukaryota; Viridiplantae; Streptophyta; Magnoliopsida; Rosales; Rosaceae
Exons: 9
Source: RefSeq, a predicted model, not a curated record
AGCACACUCAAACAAAGUUAACGCCUUGGCCAUUUUUCCUAUCAGAGAGAGAAACCUCGAGCUUUUCUCCAUCUCCAAACCGAAUCGUCCUCUUCUUCCUUCUCCGCCUCUGACCAGAACCCGACCCUUCUCUGGCUCUUCCCCCAAACCUUAUCCCUCUCUCUCCCCCGUCCUAAUCGAACCAAAACCUCAAAGCCCCAGAAAACAAAUUCGCAGAGAUCUCUUUGUGGAUCAUCUCCGAGGUGCAACCUGGUGUUGACUCAUCAGAGGAAGGCGAAGAAUAUGGUGGACACGGUGAGCCCACCCCGGUGGUCGGAGAUCGGUGACGGAGGAGUGAGUCCUCCAUAUCCAUUUUCUCUCUCCUCCCUCUCUCUCUUUCAGAAAAAGAUUGAAAGGAUUGAUUUUGAAUCAAAUUGAUUUAGGAAUGGCUUUGAGAGUCGUUGAUCAACAACAAGCCAGAGUGCGAGAAGAAGGAGUUUGGGAAAACUAGAGAUGAUUUGAAGUCGCCUCAAAGUCUCGGUCAGAUUAUAAGGGAAGUUCUAAGACCUCUCGAUAAUAUUGAACGCUGGUCAAAAUUAUGUACAACCAUGUCAAUGAUAGAUCUGGGAUGGAAGCUCCUCUGAUUGCUAAUGAUGUUUAUGAAAUCAUCAUGAAGAAUGCAGUGUGUUUGGACAGUGAGAUCAUUUACGACCGCGACUUUGACUACGACUACUUUGGUUUCAAGACUCUUGAGAGGUCUUACCUCUUGAAGGUUCAUGGGAAGGUUGUAGAAAGGCCUCAACACAUGCUAAUGAGGGUUGCUAUUGGAAUACACAAGAAUGAUAUUGACUCUGUAGGUGCUAUGUUUUGUUAGAGGACUUUGUCAAAUGUCAUAUUUAUUCACAUAUGUCAUCAUUAUUGAGAAGCAUAGAGUCAUCUGGUGCAAGUUCAAGACAUGCAAAAUAUUUCUCAUGGAGCUAUAUGGUGGCAGGUACUUUUUGUUUCCUCCCACGAGUACCAAAGAGUAUGAUGAUCGCGUGAUGGUGCUACUGUAUAUGCUGUAAAGUGUGAACCACAGGUGGCGGAGCUGGAUCUGCUAAGCACAUGCACUUGUUAAUCGACAUAGCUCAUCUUGCAACCAACAACACAAAGGAACUAUAUGGUGGAAUGUUGCAUAAAGAGUCUUUGGGAGAUCGAGCGUGGAGUACCAAGCAUUAAUGCAACAAGCUAUAUUUUGUUUCAUCAUGUAAAACUUAACCAGGAAAUUUAAAUGCUUUUUAGUCUAUCCAAUGUAUGAAUGCUUUAGCAAUGUUCCUUAAAUUCAAUAUUUGAUGAAUUGAUGUAUCCCAAUGACUUUGGUACAAAUGUUGAUCAUUUGAUGGUUUGCAUUCAAUUUGUAUUCCAAUUUUUCACUAUUAA